This 478-nucleotide ribosomal RNA is filed under the name uncultured bacterium. RNAcentral describes it as "partial 16S ribosomal RNA". It matches the Rfam family "Bacterial small subunit ribosomal RNA", at positions 28 to 523 of the family's 1533-position model. The record is from RNAcentral.
GACGAACGCUGGCGGCGUGCUUAACACAUGCAAGUCGAACGGCAAGGCCCUUCGGGGUACACGAGUGGCGAGCGGGUGAGUAACACGUGGGUGAUCUGCCCUGCACUUCGGGAUAAGCCUGGGAAACUGGGUCUAAUACCGGAUAGGACCACUGCCUGCAUGGGUGGUGGUGGAAAGCUUUUGCGGUGUGGGAUGGGCCCGCGGCCUAUCAGCUUGUUGGUGGGGUGAUGGCCUACCAAGGCGACGACGGGUAGCCGGCCUGAGAGGGUGACCGGCCACACUGGGACUGAGAUACGGCCCAGACUCCUACGGGAGGCAGCAGUGGGGAAUAUUGCACAAUGGGCUCAAGCCUGAUGCAGCGACGCCGCGUGAGGGAUGACGGCCUUCGGGUUGUAAACCUCUUUCAGCACCGACGAAGCGCAAGUGACGGUAGGUGCAGAAGAAGGACCGGCCAACUACGUGCCAGCCGCCGCAGUAA